RNAcentral lists this ribosomal RNA (199 nucleotides) under uncultured bacterium. RNAcentral's name for it is "partial 16S ribosomal RNA". It matches the Rfam family "Bacterial small subunit ribosomal RNA", at positions 328 to 539 of the family's 1533-position model. The record is from RNAcentral.
ACGCUCGACACCUACGGGAGGCAGCAGUGGGGAAUAUUGCACAAUGGGGGAAACCCUGAUGCAGCGACGCCGCGUGAGCGAAGAAGUAUUUCGGUAUGUAAAGCUCUAUCAGCAGGGAAGAUAAUGACGGUACCUGACUAAGAAGCUCCGGCUAAAUACGUGCCAGCAGCCGAGGUAAUCUGAGGCGGGCUGGCAAGGC